GCCGGCUUAGUGAAGUGGUUAACACGUCAGUUUCCGGUUUCACCGAUUAGCUGAAGAUCACGAGUUCGAAUCUCGUAGUCGGUU
Molecule: non-coding RNA, 84 nt
Organism: Naganishia vaughanmartiniae
Lineage: Eukaryota; Fungi; Basidiomycota; Tremellomycetes; Filobasidiales; Filobasidiaceae
Source: the annotation of a GenBank genome assembly